RNAcentral lists this ribosomal RNA (490 nucleotides) under uncultured bacterium. RNAcentral's name for it is "partial 16S ribosomal RNA". It matches the Rfam family "Bacterial small subunit ribosomal RNA", at positions 30 to 507 of the family's 1533-position model. The record is from RNAcentral.
AUUGAACGCUGGCGGCAGGCCUAACACAUGCAAGUCGAACGGUAACAGGAAACAGCUUGCUGUUUCGCUGACGAGUGGCGGACGGGUGAGUAAUGUCUGGGAAACUGCCUGAUGGAGGGGGAUAACUACUGGAAACGGUAGCUAAUACCGCAUAACGUCGCAAGACCAAAGAGGGGGACCCUCGGGCCUCUUGCCAUCGGAUGUGCCCAGAUGGGAUUAGCUUGUUUGUGGGGUAACGGCUCACCAAGGCGACGAUCCCUAGCUGGUCUGAGAGGAUGACCAGCCACACUGGAACUGAGACACGGUCCAGACUCCUACGGGAGGCAGCAGUGCGGAUUAUUGCACAAUGGGCGCAAGCCUGAUGCAGCCAUGCCGCGUGUAUGAAGAAGGCCUUCGGGUUGUAAAGUACUUUCAGCGGGGAGGAAGGGAGUAAAGUUAAUACCUUAGCUCAUUGACGUUACCCGCAGAAGAAGCACCGGCUAACUCCGUG